RNAcentral lists this ribosomal RNA (820 nucleotides) under uncultured eukaryote. RNAcentral describes it as "SSU rRNA". It matches the Rfam family "Eukaryotic small subunit ribosomal RNA", at positions 629 to 1426 of the family's 1831-position model. The record is from RNAcentral.
CGGUGUUUAACUGGCGUGAUGUGGGACGUCCUACCGGUGGGCUUAGCCUCGCGAGGGGCGGCCCAACUAAUAUCCCGUCGCGGUGCUCUUUACUGAGUGUCGAGUCGGGCCGGUACUUUUACUUUGAACAAAUUAGAGUGCUUAAAGCAGGCUAUCCUCGCCUGAAUACUGCGUGCAUGGAAUAAUGGAAUAGGACCUCGGUUCUAUUUUGUUGGUUUUCAGAACCCCGAGGUAAUGAUUAAUAGGGACAGAUGGGGGCAUUCGUAUUGCGACGUUAGAGGUGAAAUUCUUGGAUCGUCGCAAGACGGACAGAAGCGAAAGCAUUUGCCAAAAAUGUUUUCAUUAAUCAAGAACGAAAGUUAGAGGUUCGAAGGCGAUCAGAUACCGCCCUAGUUCUAACCAUAAACGAUGCCAGCUAGCGAUCCGCCGAAGUUCCUCCGAUGACUCGGCGGGCAGCUUCCGGGAAACCAAAGCUUUUGGGUUCCGGGGGAAGUAUGGUUGCAAAGCUGAAACUUAAAGGAAUUGACGGAAGGGCACCACCAGGAGUGGAGCCCUGCGGCUUAAUUUGACUCAACACGGGAAACCUCACCAGGCCCAGACACCGGAAGGAUUGACAGAUUGAUAGCUCUUUCUUGAUUCGGUGGGUGGUGGUGCAUGGCCGUUUUUAGUUGGUGGAGCGAUUUGUCUGGUUAAUUCUGAUAACGAACGAGACUCUAGCCUGCUAAAUAGGCGUACCUUAUGGUAUCGCGAAGGCCCCCGGCUUCGGCCGGUGGGUUUUUACUACCAACGUACAAACAAAUCUUUUUAGAGGGACAGGCGG